AUUCAACUACAGAAACACCUA
Molecule: transfer RNA, 21 nt
Filed under: Mus caroli (Ryukyu mouse)
Lineage: Eukaryota; Metazoa; Chordata; Mammalia; Rodentia; Muridae
Also listed under: 2 other names
Description: partial tRNA-Glu
Source: RNAcentral